This 432-nucleotide ribosomal RNA is filed under the name uncultured bacterium. RNAcentral describes it as "partial 16S ribosomal RNA". It matches the Rfam family "Bacterial small subunit ribosomal RNA", at positions 34 to 506 of the family's 1533-position model. The record is from RNAcentral.
CCCGCCCGCUGGCGGCAUGCCUAACACAUGCAAGUCGAACGAGACCUUCGGGUCUAGUGGCGCACGGGUGCGUAACGCGUGGGAACCUGCCCUUAGGUUCGGAAUAACUCCCCGAAAGGGGUGCUAAUACCGGAUAAUGUCUUCGGACCAAAGAUUUAUCGCCUUUGGAUGGGCCCGCGUUGGAUUAGCUAGUUGGUAGGGUAAAAGCCUACCAAGGCGACGAUCCAUAGCUGGUCUGAGAGGAUGAUCAGCCACACUGGGACUGAGACACGGCCCAGACUCCUACGGGAGGCAGCAGUGGGGAAUAUUGGACAAUGGGCGAAAGCCUGAUCCAGCAAUGCCGCGUGAGUGAUGAAGGCCUUAGGGUUGUAAAGCUCUUUUACCCGGGAUGAUAAUGACAGUACCGGGAGAAGAAGCGCCGGCUAACUCCGU